This 514-nucleotide ribosomal RNA is filed under the name uncultured bacterium. Its description in RNAcentral is "partial 16S ribosomal RNA". It matches the Rfam family "Bacterial small subunit ribosomal RNA", at positions 28 to 523 of the family's 1533-position model. The record is from RNAcentral.
GAUGAACGCUGGCGGCGUGCCUAAUACAUGCAAGUCGAGCGAACAGAUGAGAAGCUUGCUUCUCUGAUGUUAGCGGCGGACGGGUGAGUAACACGUGGGUAACCUACCUAUAAGACUGGGAUAACUCCGGGAAACCGGGGCUAAUACCGGAUAAUAUUUUGAACCGCAUGGUUCAAUAGAGAAAGACGGUUUCGGCUGUCACUUAUAGAUGGACCCGCGCCGUAUUAGCUAGUUGGUAUGGUAACGGCUUACCAAGGCGACGAUACGUAGCCGACCUGAGAGGGUGAUCGGCCACACUGGAACUGAGACACGGUCCAGACUCCUACGGGAGGCAGCAGUAGGGAAUCUUCCGCAAUGGGCGAAAGCCUGACGGAGCAACGCCGCGUGAGUGAUGAAGGUCUUCGGAUCGUAAAACUCUGUUGUUAGGGAAGAACAAAUUUGUUAGUAACUGAACAAGUCUUGACGGUACCUAACCAGAAAGCCACGGCUAACUACGUGCCAGCAGCCGCCGUAA